ACAAACAAUAUAGGCUAAACAAGGCUCAACGGGGCUAAAACCUACAAAACAAAUGUAUGGAAUGAAGGCUUUUUGGCUAUGGUGGUACUACUAAACAACUUCAUCUUGAAUACGUGUUAUGCAAUUCAAUGAAAUGUUUUGAAUGAAAUUGGCAUGAGUUCUAGCAUUUGGAACUAAAGUGAUGAAACGCCUUCUAAGUAAUAACCAAGCAAAGAAUAGUGAGAUCAUGCAACGACUUUAGAAAACAAGAAUGCACAGAUUUUAACUCUCCAAAUAAAGUUUUAGGCUCAAGUAUCUCAGGGUUGUAGCUUUAGUUUGAGUUUCUUCCUUCAAGCAUGUCACAAAAACUGAUUUUUUUCCUUUUUGAUUACAUGUGAAUUCAUAAGUUAUAACUACAACUAAGCAUAAACCAAGAGUAAAUCAAACUUCCAUCCAUGUUUAUAACUCUCUUCAAUAGUCAUGCAAUUAAAAACCGAAUCCUCAUCAUUGUGUUGGAAGGUACCCUAAGACACAAACAAACACACAAAAACAACUUAAAAACGACUCUUUUUGGGUUUUUUAAAACAAAUUUUCAAAUUUUUAUGGGAUUUUCGGAUUUUUGAAUCAAAACACAUUAAAACACACCAAAACAGCCUAAAAACACCUAAAAACAGCAAGAAACAACAUUGGAAAUUAUGAGUGAGAAAACCCUACGAAUUUGCAUCAAAACACUUUGGUUACCCCCCCCACACUUAAACCAAACAUUGUCCUCAAUGUUUCAAGCAUAGACUCACACAAAAACACAUAAACAAACAAACCAACACUAACAAACUAAACAUGGCAGAAACGAAAGAAACAACAAAGAGAAGGGUUUAGAAACGCAAAUCUGGAAUUGGAGUGCUCUCUAGGUCUUCCUUUGUCAAAUGCAUGGGUUGCCUCCCACGAAGCGCUUGCUUUAACGUCUUCCAGCCGGACGGUACCUCUGUUUAAGCUUGACUAUGUUCCAUGGCAUGGAGGGGUACAUCCUCCAUGACAUGCUCCUUGAAAUACUCAUGCAUUGGGUCUAUGUAUGGCAGUGGAUAAUGAUGGUCCCAGAUUGUGGCAUUGAGCUUCCCAAGGUCAAAGUAAGAACUCCCAUAAUCAUGGAUUCGAUUUGGUACCUGCACCACAGAAGGCAAUAACCUAUUAGUGGAAACGGGAAUUGGAAUUAGAGGAUGAGGCUUACCAAUGCAUGUAGAUGAAGACUCAAAAAGGGCAGCAAAGGUGGUGCUCUCGGCCAGAUUUGGUAUUUUGGGUGUAAUGACAUGUUUCGUAUGCUCCACUCCAAUACCCUCUUCGAUGAUGCAUCUAGGGACAUCCUUCUUGAUUGGUGCGCAUGAAUGUUCCUUCCCCACAUUUUUAAUCACAUCUAUUGCAAAACAAGAACGAACAUCAUUAGGAUUCUUAACAUAUUCAGGAACUUUGAAUUUAAUCAAUUCAUCAACAAACUCCAUUGUUAACUCUCCCUUAGCCACAUCAAUCUUGGUUUGGGCUGUCUUCAUGAAGGGCCUCCCUAAUAGUAUCGGCAAUGGGGUAGAAUAGGGUGAAUCCUCCAUGUCAAGCACAUAAAAGUCCGCUGGAAAAAUCAAAUUACCAACCUGCACCAAAACAUCUUCCAAAACACCCUUUGGGUAUGCAUUAGAACGAUCGGCUAAUUGAAUUAUCACACCAUCAUUUUUAAGCUCACCUAAGUUCAUAGAUGCAUAAAUUGAGUAUGGCAUAACAUUAAUCGAAGCCCCUAAGUCUAACAUGCAUUGUUCAAACUUAGU
RNAcentral lists this long non-coding RNA (1787 nucleotides) under Malus domestica (apple). RNAcentral's name for it is "long non-coding RNA (MDOM_LNC020865)". The record is from RNAcentral. Lineage: Eukaryota; Viridiplantae; Streptophyta; Magnoliopsida; Rosales; Rosaceae.